This 262-nucleotide non-coding RNA is filed under the name Paenibacillus sp. Its description in RNAcentral is "T-box sequence". It matches the Rfam family "T-box leader". Rfam says of the family: Uncharged tRNA acts as the effector for transcription antitermination of genes in the T-box leader family. The record is from RNAcentral. Lineage: Bacteria; Bacillati; Bacillota; Bacilli; Caryophanales; Paenibacillaceae.
UGACGAACAUGGGCGAAGCCCGAAGUAGGAGAAAUGCCGCUGCUGCAGAGAGUCGGUGGAAGGUGCAAACCGAUGCAAGCAUAUUGUCCGAAUUACAGUUCUGAGUUGGUGGAGGGAACAUGCUCUAUCGAGCACUAGUAGCUUACACCCGGCAAACUAUUUGUCGUUAAUUUUCUAAGUGAAAGAGAAGUGGCAUGCUUGUAGGCGUGCAACCAAUCUCUUUAAUUAGGGUGGUACCGCGAGACAAUCUCUCGUCCCUUUG